UAUAAAUAAACUAAUACAAAACAACAACAUACUUUCACAUUUAAUUUUUAAAUGAAACACUGAAUGCAGUGCAUUUUGAUGUGGGUAAAGCUCUGUAACAUUUCAUGUACAGAAAAACACUGCAUAAACAAAACAAUGAAAAGGCACAACAAAUGUAUCCUCAUUUGGUCCAUAUGCAUUUUGAAUAUUAUAUGGUUUAUAAUGCAUAAGAUCAUCAGCUUUCACAACAGCAUCAAACUCAUUUCCAUCAACAACUCUGAAUCCAUAACAAUGCUCACUGAAGAGCUCUGUAACAAGUUUUUCAACCACAAAGUAAACAUUUUCACCCAACACAAGAAUGUUGGUAAUUUUACAGAAUAAUGGCAUCUCAUGUUUUAUCUCUGUGCAUAUGGCAAGACCAGUUUUAUAUUAUGUGCCAUCAAGUUUAGUCCAACUGGUAGAGUAAAUGUCUGUCUGUACUGUGAUUUGCAAAGCAUUGGCCAAGUCUUCACCAUUUUCAUAGUCACUUAGGGA
Carassius auratus (goldfish) is the source of this 513-nucleotide long non-coding RNA. RefSeq lists it as uncharacterized. The transcript has 2 exons. Lineage: Eukaryota; Metazoa; Chordata; Actinopteri; Cypriniformes; Cyprinidae. The record is from RefSeq and is a predicted model, not a curated record.